This 185-nucleotide ribosomal RNA is filed under the name uncultured bacterium. RNAcentral's name for it is "partial 16S ribosomal RNA". It matches the Rfam family "Bacterial small subunit ribosomal RNA", at positions 575 to 758 of the family's 1533-position model. The record is from RNAcentral.
GCGGUUGAGUAAGUCGGGUGUGAAAACUCUGGGCUUAACCCGGAGACGCCAUCCGAUACUGCUCUGACUAGAGUUCAGGAGGGGAGUGGGGAAUUCCUAGUGUAGCGGUGAAAUGCGCAGAUAUUAGGAGGAACACCGGUGGCGAAGGCGCCACUCUGGACUGAAACUGACGCUGAGGAGCGAAA